RNAcentral lists this ribosomal RNA (253 nucleotides) under uncultured bacterium. RNAcentral's name for it is "partial 16S ribosomal RNA". It matches the Rfam family "Bacterial small subunit ribosomal RNA", at positions 524 to 776 of the family's 1533-position model. The record is from RNAcentral.
UACGUAGGGGGCAAGCGUUGUUCGGAUUUACUGGGCGUAAAGCGCGUGUAGGCGGCCAGGUAGGUCCGCUGUGAAAACUCGAGGCUCAACCUCGAGACGUCGGCGGAAACCAUCUGGCUAGAGUCCGGAAGAGGAGAGUGGAAUUCCUGGUGUAGCGGUGAAAUGCGCAGAUAUCAGGAAGAAUAUCCGUGGCGAAGGCGGCUCUCUGGGACGGUACUGACGCUGAGACGCGAAAGCGUGGGGAGCGAACAGG